This 408-nucleotide unclassified non-coding RNA is filed under the name uncultured fungus. RNAcentral describes it as "partial internal transcribed spacer 1". The record is from RNAcentral. Lineage: Eukaryota; Fungi.
CCAGCACGCUAUGCGUCCCGCUCGCCGGAUGGUAACGAUGGAUCUCCUGUUCCAGGAUAUCGGUCCAAUACAGCGCGCUUUCAUCCUCGCUCCAUGUGGGGCAUUCUGGUAGAUGUCCGACAUAAUCAAAUAAAACGUGCGGCGUAGUCAUAACGGUUCCUUAAACGAAAAAAGCCAGCAAAGCUGGCUUUUAGUAUAGAUGUCAUCAUUAUGGUCGGCUGUCAUUCGCCUGACGCAAUAACACACGGCUUUCAUUCUGGAAGCGUCUGGCAUAAUCGCCAAACCAGUGUUCAACUUUGCGAAAACUGUCGAUAAAAGCCUGCUUAUCACCCUGUUCCAGUAACCCGAUCGCAUCGCCAAAACGUUUAUAGUAACGCUUGAUAAGCGCCAGAUUGCGCUCCGACGACA